Molecule: long non-coding RNA, 544 nt
Filed under: Zonotrichia albicollis (white-throated sparrow)
Lineage: Eukaryota; Metazoa; Chordata; Aves; Passeriformes; Passerellidae
Description: lncRNA (ENSZALG00000000394.1)
Source: RNAcentral
CUCAGAACUAAACUUAGAAACAAAACCGUGAAGCAUCAGUUUUGCUUUUCUCUACAACCUUGGAUACCACAAAAUUUACUUAUUUUGAAAGACUGGGAUGUAAUUCACUGUUGUAUUCUGCAUCCCCUUUCCAGAUGCCAGGAUGAAUGCAGCCAUUUCCAGUUUCUAUUCCAGGAUUUAGAUGAACAGGUUUGGGGAGGCAAUUUCCUUUCAGGCAAGAGUACUUCCAGCAUACCAUCUGAUUGGAGAAGUCUCUAAAAUGUUCUGAUGAAGGUACAUCUCUACUACUUCUGUCAGCCUGAAGACAGGAAGAGCAGCACAAUUAAUCUCUGCACAUGUAAACUCUUCCAUCCCACAAUGGCAGUGCUUCCUCAAUAUCCUCCAUUUGGGGGGUCCCUUGGCCACACCACCCUCCAGUGCCUGCAGAGAAUGUGCUGAUUACUGGUACCAGCAUUGCCAGUUGGUAGAGCCCAGGUGGCAUUUUUUAACCUUUCUCUUUUGAUUUCUAAAUUGCCAAUAGCUAGUGAAGAAAACAAGGCUCAAC